RNAcentral lists this long non-coding RNA (461 nucleotides) under Cucumis sativus (cucumber). RNAcentral describes it as "long non-coding RNA (CSAT_LNC002267)". Lineage: Eukaryota; Viridiplantae; Streptophyta; Magnoliopsida; Cucurbitales; Cucurbitaceae. The record is from RNAcentral.
AGCCACCAAGCAUUCACUAGGAUCUUGCUCUCCGCUGGAAUGUCAUAGCCCGCAAGCUUGGCGUCGUGGAGGUUCAUGUGAGGGACGAGUAAUGGGAUGGUCAUACGAAGGCGGAGAGUCUCCUUGACCACGGCUUGGAGGUAUGGGAGCUUUUGUGUGUCUGGCUCAGUGAUUGGAACACCGGGUCCGAGUACGGUGUCGAGUUCAUUUCUUAGCUUUCUUUGGAUUUCUGGGUGGUUCACUAGCUCCGCGAUUCCCCAUUCAAUCGACCAUAAUGUUGUUUCAAUUGCUGUUCAACAAUGUAAACAAGAAACUCAAUGUCAUUAUCUAUCAUUGUUCUUUGUUUUUGUCACCAUCAUUUAUAGUUUAGAUUUAUAAUGUGACCAAUUUUUCAAUAGUGUUGUGGUUGUGGCUGUGGGUAGCUAUCUUAGCUAUUUCAAUUGAUGCUUCCUAUUUUCGGG